Molecule: ribosomal RNA, 1434 nt
Filed under: uncultured bacterium
Lineage: Bacteria
Description: 16S ribosomal RNA
Rfam family: Bacterial small subunit ribosomal RNA
Source: RNAcentral
UGGCUCAGAACGUACGCUGGCGGCACGCCUAACACAUGCAAGUCGAACGAAGUAGCAAUACUUAGUGGCAGACGGGUGAGUAACAUGUAGGUAUCUGCCCUUUGGCCUGGAAUAACACGAGGAAACUUGUGCUAAUACCGGAUAAGUCUUUACGGAGAAAGCUUUAUGCACCAUUGGAUGAGCCUGCACUUGAUUAGUUUGUUGGUGGGGUAAUGGCCUACCAAGACUGUGAUCAAUAGCUGAUUUGAGAGGAUGAUCAGCCACAUUGGGACUGAGACACGGCCCAAACUCCUACGGGAGGCAGCAGUGGGGAAUCUUGCACAAUGGAGGAAACUCUGAUGCAGCGAUGCCGCGUGAGUGAAGAAGGCCCUUGGGUUGUAAAGCUCUUUCGUCGGGGAAGAAAAUGACUGUACCCGAAUAAGAAGGUCCGGCUAACUUCGUGCCAGCAGCCGCGGUAAUACGAAGGGACCUAGCGUAGUUCGGAAUUACUGGGCUUAAAGAGUUCGUAGGUGGUUGAAAAAGUUGGUGGUGAAAUCCCAGAGCUUAACUCUGGAACUGCCAUCAAAACUUUUCAGCUAGAGUUUGAUAGAGGAAAGCAGAAUUUCUAGUGUAGAGGUGAAAUUCGUAGAUAUUAGAAAGAAUACCAAUUGCGAAGGCAGCUUUCUGGAUCAAUACUGACACUGAGGAACGAAAGCAUGGGUAGCGAAGAGGAUUAGAUACCCUCGUAGUCCAUGCCGUAAACGAUGUGUGUUAGACGUUGGAAAUUUAUUUUCAGUGUCGCAGCGAAAGCGAUAAACACACCGCCUGGGGAGUACGACCGCAAGGUUAAAACUCAAAUGAAUUGACGGGGACCCGCACAAGUAGUGGAGCAUGUGGUUUAAUUCGAAGAUACGCGCAGAACCUUACCAACACUUGACAUGUUCGUCGCGACUUUAAGAGAUUAAAGUUUUCGGUUCGGCCGGACGAAACACAGGUGCUGCAUGGCUGUCGUCAGCUCGUGUCGUGAGAUGUUGGGUUAAGUCCCGCAACGAGCGCAACCCUCACUUUUAGUUGCCAUCAUUAAGUUGGGCACUCUGAAAGAACUGCCAGUGAUAAGCUGGAGGAAGGUGGGGAUGACGUCAAGUCCUCAUGGCCCUUACGUGUUGGGCUACACACGUGCUACAAUGGUAUCUACAACAGGAAGCAAGACGGCGACGUUAAGCAAAUCCUUAAAAGAUACCUCAGUUCGGAUUGCACUCUGCAACUCGAGUGCAUGAAGCUGGAAUUACUAGUAAUCGUGGAUCAGCGUGCCACGGUGAAUGCGUUCCCGGGUCUUGUACACACCGCCCGUCACACCAUGGGAGUUGGAUUCACCCGAAGGUAGUGCGCUAACCGCAAGGAGGCAGCUAACCACGGUGGGUUCAGCGACUGGGGUGAAGUCGUAACAAGGUAACC